UUCGUGAUUGUUAUUUAAAACACAAUGAGGUAAACAAAUUUUCACGUCGGCUGGUCUAAUUUUUAUUUUACUAUAUUUAACCGGAUUGCCGACGGAAAACGUUAAUAAGUGAGAACGGGAUGGUGGGAAUUGUAAUUAUAUGUGAAUGUAUGUAGAUUUGUCCGAGUCCUCGGAGUCCUUGGCCAACGCUCCUGAAAAAUAGCUGUGUUUCACCCUUUGCAGGAUUUUUAUUGGCACAAAACAUUUCAU
Non-coding RNA from Drosophila suzukii, 249 nucleotides. Lineage: Eukaryota; Metazoa; Arthropoda; Insecta; Diptera; Drosophilidae. The record is from RefSeq and is a predicted model, not a curated record.